GAUUUAACAACCGGCUUCAGCUGAGCGAUCUCCAGAGCUUCCCACAGCAUCUCAUCUGUAGCCUUCAUCUCUGGGUCCAGGUUUCCUCCGAUUGGAUACCUUCUGCCCAGGGUCGAUGUGUGCAUUGACAUUUUUGAGCACUGGCUUCAGCGUGGCGUCGUACCGGACGCUCAGAUUCUGGAUCUUGAUCUCUCCCUGUCGGGGCCAGCCGUCAGGGACCUGAGACACUGCUGAGACAGCAAGGAAACAUCUCUGUAUUUAACCUUCACCUUUCUUACCCCUCGAUCAUUGGGUUAUAAUUGCUAUUUCUACAUAUGUGAUCAUUGGAGUCGGAAUAAGAUUUUUUCAACUAUGUUUGAAUUAAUUAAAAAUGUAUUUUAAAGCUAAAAAGGUACUUUAAUUUCUCAUGCUAGGGGGUGUCUCAAUUAAAACCUUAAAAAAAGAUAGCCUUUGAUGAUGUCAUCAAGUAGUGUGGGAUUAUGGGAGUGGUUGUCUCCAUUAUUGAACAACCACCAUUGAAGAUAAAAAAAAAAUCUGUCUGACAUAAUGCAGACAGAAAUGACAAGACAAGACAAGACAAGACAAAAAAUGUUUUUUUUUCUUUUUUCACAUUAUGUCACUUUAAUUUAAUGAAAUACUUGGAAGUAAUGUCAGCCAAUGUAAUGUUAACUUCCUAACUUACCAUUCGAAAAGUUCCCCAACAACUACUGCAGUUAAAUAACUUAUAAUAUAUAUAAUAUAAGUGUUAAGAUAUUGAAAUAUCUAUCUGUCUCUACUGGAUUAAUGUGUUGCAAAAUGGCAUUUAAUAAAUGAGCUAAGUGCUGUAUAACUGAG
Long non-coding RNA from Centropristis striata (black sea bass), 834 nucleotides. RefSeq lists it as uncharacterized. The record is from RefSeq and is a predicted model, not a curated record. NCBI's taxonomy places the organism in Eukaryota, Metazoa, Chordata, Actinopteri, Perciformes, Serranidae. The transcript is spliced from 2 exons.